Molecule: long non-coding RNA, 3509 nt
Organism: Bos taurus (domestic cattle)
Lineage: Eukaryota; Metazoa; Chordata; Mammalia; Artiodactyla; Bovidae
Source: Ensembl
UCUCUUUCUGACUGCAUGUCUGCCUGGGCUCUGCCCCAGGGCCUGGCAGACUUUUCCUUUUCCUGCAGACUGUCAAUCUUUUAGGCUUGAUGGCCACAUACAGUUCCUGUUGCAAAUAUUCAAUGCUGUCGUUGAAUGAAAGCAGCCAUGCGUGCAUGCGUGCAAAGUCAUACGUGACUUCAGUCGUGUCUGACCCUGUGCGACCCUACAGGCUGUAGCCCGCCACGUCCUCUGUCCGUGGGAUUUCCCAGGUAAGAAUACUGGAGUGGGUUGCCAUUCCCUUCUCCAGGGUAUCUUCCCAACCCAGGGAUCCCCAACCCAGGGAUUGAACCCACAUCUCUUAUGUCUCCAGCAUCGGCAGGUGGGUUCUUUACCACUAGCGCCACCUGGGAAGCCCGGAACACAGCCGUAAACAGUACUCAAAUGAAUGAGCCUGGCUGUGUUCCAAUAAAACUUUAUUUACAAGAGCAAUCCAUGGGCCAGAGUCAGCCCACUGGUUGGAGUUUGCUGGUCCGUGGUCUAGACUCCAAGUUCCUUAAAGGCAAAGGCCUGGUUAUAUUUCAGCCAUCCAUCUCUAAGUCUCCCUCCAAGCUUGGCUGAGACGGAGGGAAAUCUCAGCAGAUGAUAGCUGGCUCUGACUCGCUCUCUCCAUCUGCCCUUUCAAUUUCUUUCCCUCUAUCUCCCUCGAACCACUGCAGUGUCACCAGGUCUCAGCUUUUCAGAAUCCCAGGGCAAUCAGGCAAGGAAAAGAACCUCUCGCUCUGGCAAUCAGCUAAUUGAAGUCACUCUUACAGGGCACUCAGCCAGAGAAGGAAGCCUUGCAGUUAAUUCAUCCUGUCUCUCAAGGCUUAACCCAACCUGGGAGAAGCAUUAAAUAGAGGGGCCAAGGAAGCAUCAGGGAGAGGCCACGCUGCUGCUGUAGCCAUGCUUCUGCUCAGGCAUCCACAGCCCUGAGCCAGGUUUUCCUCUUCUGCCAUUCAUCCACACACUACUGCGAUAUUUCCUGAGCCCCAGGAUGCACUAGGCCCAGAGGGCGCAGCAAAUGGUCUAACUGGAGAGACAGAAACUAACACUGGCACCGUCGCUGGCACAUGGAAAAUAGCCCGCAAAUUGUUACUGUGCAAAUGACCAGUUGAACAAGUGUUGGGGAUAAGGCUUGAUUCUUCCAGCAGCAAACAGGCACAUUGUCCCAAGGAUAAGCACUCUGGGAUGGAGGCCUUUGGAGGAGAAACUGUGACCUCUUGGCAGAGGGAAGCCCAACCGGUUGGCAGGACUGCUGUCGCCAAAAUGAAAGGUGUGAACAAAGACUCCGAUUUAAAAAUGGGCAGAGGAUCUGAACACACAGUCUUCCAAAGAAGACUUAUCGAUGGCCAACAGGUACGGGAAAGAUGCUCACCAUCGCUCAUCAUCAGGAAAAUGCAAAUCAAAGCCAGGACGGAGUGGCUAUCGCCCAAAAGACAAGAAACUGCAAGUGUUGGUGAGGAAGGGCAUAGAGAAAAGGGAAGCCUCGGGAGCUACUGGCGGGCGUGUGAUUUGAUGCAACGUCCUUGGAAAACAGGGUGGAGGCCCUCAAACAAUAAAAACUACCCAGGAAUACAGCAACUCCACAUUCGGAAUGGAAUAUUACUCAGCCGUAAGAAGAAGGAAAUCUUGGACUUCCCUGGUGGUCCUGUGGAUAGGAGUCCACCUGCCAAUGCAGGGGACGCAGGUUCAAUCCCUGGUCCAGGAAGACCCUACUUGCCUGGGGACAACUCAGCCCGUGUGCUUAGCGCCUGUGCGCCACAGCCAGAGAAACCACCCCUCCGAGAAGCCCACGUACUGCGUCUAAGAGUCGCCUAUGCUUGCCACAACUAGAGGACGCCCACACAAUAGCGAGGAAGACCCAGAGCGGCCAAAAUAUAAAUAUAUACAUUUUAAAAAGAAAGAAGUCCUGCCAUGUACCACUGCGUGUAUGGACCUCGAGGGCACUGUGCUAAGUGAAAUAAUCCAGAGAAAGGCAAAUACUGUGUGAUCUCACUUAUAUGUGGAGUCUAAACACACAAAACUGAGCUCGUGGAUACAGAGAAGAAAUCAAUGGUUUCCAGAGGUGGGGGUGUUGAGAGGUGUGAGACAUGAGCAAAGGGCAUCAAAAGGUACAAAUCUCCAUUGUGUACACUAAGAAAGUCGUGGGAUGUAAGGUGUGGUGACGCAUAGUUAGUAACCCUGUGUUGCAUAUUUGACAGUUGCUAGGAGAGUAAGUGUUAGAAGCUCUCAUCACAAGAAAAGAAUUGUAACUGGCGAUGAAAGUUCACUAGACUUACUGCAGUGAUCAUUUCACAAUACAUACAAAUAUUGAAUCAUUAUGUUGUACGCCUGAAACGGAGGCGGGAGGUGGAUGGGCCCCGCAGGGCCAAAGCACUUGGAGAUUUCAUUCCCUGUAUCGAUCCCUCAGAUCGAUACUCUGAGACAAGGAUAGCAAGACAGUCAGAGGAGGAGGCUGGGCCCUGCCUGGACAGAAGAUAGGAGACCACAUACAUUUCGUUCUCGGAGUCAGGAGAAAGAGACUACACUCUCAUUCCCCAGCUACACCUGCACAGAAAGGUCCCGAGGAGGUCAAAAGGGGAGUGAUGCUAAGUCUACCUACCCACACGUCCCUUUGGUGGAAUCCGUCUUGGCUGAGAGGCAUGCAGGCACAUGUGAGAGGAUCCUGAGAUGAACCAAACAUGGGCUCAGAGCCAGGCAAGGCCAGAUAAUUGGCCAAAGAAAACCUGGAAAAAUGCUUCAUAUAAGUGACUCAGAGUACCUCCAUGAGGGUGCGACUCUCUGAGUUCACUCGUGUGUCCAGCCGCACGUAUUCUUUUUCCUGCUAAUAAAUACCUGACUUUUUUCACUCCUUUCUGUCUUUGUGGGAUUUUUCCUGCAAAGCUGAGGGGCCAGGGCCUUUAUACUGACCUCUAUAGUUUGUUUUUGCUUGUACACGGGCUGAGUCAUGUCCAACUCUUUGCGUCCCCGUGGACUGUAGCCCGCCAGGCUUCUCUGUCCAUGGGAUUCUCCAGGCAAGAAUCCUGGAGUGGGAUGCUCUGCCCUCCUCCAGGGGAUCUUCCCAACACAGGGAUCUAACCCGCGUCUCUUGUGUUUCCUGCACUGGCAAGUGGGUUCUUUACCACUAUCGCCCCCUGGGAAGCCCCACCGAUCUAGUGACUAGGAUUUGAUGCUGUCACUGCUGAGACCCAGCCUCAGUCUCUGGGCUGGGAACCAAACCCCUGCUUCAAGCUGCUGCAGGCGAGGCCACCAGAGUUCAAAGCGAAUACAGUGUUAUGCGUCAGUAAUAUUGCCGAUGGGGGUGGGGGAGGAAGGAAGAAAGGCAGGUAUUGAAAAAUGCAGACUUGUCCGCAGGGAGCCCUGCCCAAGGGUCUGCCCCAGAGCCAGAGUCUGUGACAAGUGUCUGGGGCAGGAGUGACCUCAGAGAUGGGGACAUGGAGAGAGCCAGUGGGGGCGCUGUCAGGAGCUUGCCACCAUGAUGUCAAGUC